CACGCUAGCAGUUUUAAUUGCUUUCAACCAGGGCUUGAAACGCAGCCAGGAAACACACCAACUCUGAAAGCUGCUGUCUCAGCAGGGCUGUAUUAAAAGGAGAUUUAAUGAGGGGAACAGGACGGGAAGCCGCCGGAGAACCGCUGCCAGAGCGCUGGUUGGUUUUAGCCCUUUUUGCUGCCAGCGCUCCCCACGGUGCAAAAAUUUGCUGCCCUGAGGCAUUGGUGGCCUGAGCCGCCCUGGGGGCGUAGCGCCCACCUGCCCGGAGCUGGGGUGCAAUGUGGCUUUUCUCCAGGCAUUUCCAACCCGCGGUCCCUGCCGGUAAGUGGUGCUAAGGACCUGUUCCUUGGUUCCCUCUCCUGUACUUUCAGGGUGAGUUAGAUGGAUCUGACAUUCACAGCUUGUUAAUCACCAGAACCCCAGCUCCAUUUGGAAAGCCAUCUACCAAAGUCCACUCUGAUUACCAUUUUGUCUUCUGACCUGAUAAAGCUGCUGCAAAAGGAAACAAGCUGCUUCUGUUUUGCCUCCUGCUUUCCUGUGGUCUCAAUGGCAGAAACCUGCUUCCUUACUUAUCAUUGGCAUAAGGCUACGGAAAGGAAGAUAAGAUCCUUAAUGGUGUACUACAAAACUGGACAGCUGGAGUGAACGGAUGAUUGGAGCGACCCAAACAACAAGGUACAAUCAAAUGGCAAAUUUCCUGUGCCCUCCUCUUGCUUCGUUUCAGCAUGAAAACCAAGAGCAGCAUCUGGAAGGGACUUGAAUUCAGUGUACUUGACCCCAAGCUGUAAUUUUGACUUAUCUCUCCUAUUCACUAAUAAACAUGACAUUUAAUUAAAAAAAAAAAAUUAAACAUGAGCCUUUUUUUAUCUUGCAUCUUGCUUUUGCAGCUAAAAAAGCAAACAAAACCCCCACCAAACCAGAACCAAAAAGCUGAUCAUGUGAUGAGAACAAAACAGAGGGGAACAAUGCCAAAGCUUAACAAGGAUUUUUAAAACAGUCACUUUAGUGUUCUGCUGAAUUGCUUUGUCACUUGUGGCAUUUGUAAUAACUUUUGCAUCCUCAAAUGCUUGGAAUGGAGCUCCCUGAAAAUAUGUCACCAAUUAAAGAAAUAUAUGCAGACAGUCUAGGGAGAGAAAACUAAGAGCAUUUUAAUGGAAAAUAUGUAAAUAGAUGAACUUUUCUAAACGUAGUUCAUUCUCAGCGUGUACGCUGAGGGAAAGCUGAUGCUGGUGGGCAGCAGCACGGUUUCAAAAAAUGCAGAGCUGAAGCUCAGUCAUGUGUUUUGGCUAUGCUCAGUGCUCCCACCAAGUAUCAGGGAGUUUGAAGUAUAUAGUGAACGCAGAACCAACUCGCAAACAUGUAUUUUUAUUUUCAUGCCGAGCUGUCUUCCUAAGCUGGAAAAGCAGGUCUUAACAAGAAACAUGCUGUGUGAAGUUUGGGAUUUUUUUUUUUUUUUUCAGUGGAAAAAAAAGAAUACCCCAGCUGAAGAGGAGCCUCAGACAUCCAGUUUUCCCUUUUGUUUUUACAGAAAUCUGACGUCAGUAUAACUUCUCCUUCCUGCAAUUGUUUUUCCAUAGAUUCCUGCUUGGGGCAGGACAGAAACGCAGCCAGCCUUUCUGCUUUUCCUUCUGUGCAAUUAUGCCAGCAAGGUGGUGGUCCUGCUGACUACCAGGUCAUCCCACCUCCAGCUUGUAAGGAGACCCCACGGGGCGAUUUCAAGGAGGUGGGCACGCAGGCUUGUGCUCCUGAUCUGCAUCGGCUUGGGAUCGGUUAUGUUCAUCUCCCCCUGCCACGGCAACAUAUUUUCCAGUGAGAGGUGGGAACUGAGUCAACUAAAUCCUUGUAAAAGCAAUGAAGAACAGACCUGCUGUUCAAAGGCUGCAGCUUCUAUUCCUUAAGUUGUGGGAGCCUGAAAAAUGCUUUGAGUUCUGCAAGGUCCUUUGUGAAGGGAGCGAGAGAUGGGCUUUGUGCACUGCAGAUGUCCGCAAGUGAAUGAACAGCAGCAAAAUAUUUUCCUCUCUGAAAAGUGGGGAUGCUCUCCUCUCCAGCUGUGAAGCACAUGCCGACACAGUCAAGACUGGGGUGAGCAAACUGCUGAGCUGGUCUGCAGAGCAGGGAGUUGACCCGCCGUCCGAGGGAGCCUGGGGUCUGACGGGCUGGGGGAUUAGCCUGCUUAUCUGCUUUUCUGGCUUUCAGUUAGGAUUUAGUUAAGAAUUUCCUGCAUCUGCAUCAGCAAGAAGAAAUGGCUGUGCCCAGGAUUUGGAAAGGUCAGCAAUAGGCCAAAGAUAUUUAAGCACACAGACUUUUAAGGUGUUGGAAAUGUGUAGGCUGGAGGCAAAUCCUGAAAGUAGGUCCUUGGCAUCAGAAAAGUAAGUCUUGGGAGCAGCUUCUAGCUAGGACUGCCUGUGCGUAUGCACGUGCAGGAGAUGUACGCGUUCCAUUUUGUGCCAGCUGGGUGUCCUGCCACAGCAACCCCCCUCCAUGUGCUGCUCCCUCUCAAACCGGCCGCAAAGCUCCCGUGGGCUCCUGUGCUGCUGGGUCUCGCUGGAUGCGUGGCGUUUGGGUGACCGUCCUCCCGGGCCGGGGUUCCCCCUGCUGCAAAACCCAGCACCCUGACUUUUUCAACCCCACCUGCGUUUUGACCCCUAGCAGCCAGCUGGUAGGUGCCUGCUUUGAGGCAGGCAGAAAAAGCCCCUCAGAUUAAUGGUCUGCCUAAAAGCUAAAAAGAAAAAAAAAGAAAGAAAGAAAGAAAAAAAGAAAUAAUUUAAAACAUCACAUUAAAAUGCCACUCCACAUCUGAAAGGAUCCAUUAAAACUUUUAUAGAGCUUUUUACAUUUGUUUCCCAUUUUACAUUUUGUUCUGGAUUUGGGCACUCCUCUUUUGUAAUUCUCCUUUGUAAUAAACAUUUUUGCCUUGCUUGGCUCUGCACUAACAGGGACUAUUUGCUGUGCAGAAGGAAACGUGGGAUUUUGCCUAGAAUGGAGCUUUUUCUUCAGAAAUCACCAUUUGCCGGGAUCCAGCCUGGGUGGGAGCCACAGGCUUGUGGCAGGAGGUGUUCCUGCAGCAUCAUUGUCCUUAAAAAGCUGUAUUUUUUUGAGGGAUUUGGAGAAGCGCAUCCGGGCUUCUCCCUCUGGUGCUCUGCCUGCAGCUCCUUCAGCAGAAGCCCCAUGGUGGCAGGGGCAGGAGGAAGGGCUGGCACUGGGAAAGCUGCAGCAUCGCAUGGCCAGGCCUGCGUGUCCCUCUCCCUCGUCCCACCACACUGCUCCUGGUCCUGCCACCUCCGUGUGUGUCCCUGCUGCAGCUGCCCAGCUGCCAUCCCCACUGGUGGGUGCGCCCCCACCGCCUCUCAGUCCUCACGUCUUUUCAUGGCCUUUCUAUUCACAAUAAAGUAAAUAAUUAAUUUCCAUUAAAAAUAAAUAAAUUAAAAAUAAGUCUGCUGCAGGUGGGUGAAGGAAAAGCUUCUAAGGUUCAGCAGGAAUUGCCAGUUGUCUCUGCCUCCUCUGGAAUGUUGGCAAAAAAAUUAUAGCUUUCACCUGUUCAGCCUUUUUUUUUUCAGAAAAGAUUUUGACUCUUAAGUAUCGGAAGAGCAUCCGGACAAGCGCUGCUGUCUGUGGUGGGAGCCAGGAGCAGUGGGACAUGUCCUGCACCCCACCCAGCUUGUCCCCUCUGACGGGGCCUGGGGAGAUGCUUGAGGAGUGCGGGGCGGUCCGCUGCUGAGGCAACUUCAACCUGCUCGUCACGGCACUGACAUGUGUGGGAUCUAUGAUGCCAGCUGGAUUUUGAUUAAGUGGAAAAUUCCUCUGCGAUGGGCUUUAUUCUCCACGUAAAGCUGUGCUCUGUGGUCGGCGCCAGCGGCAGAGGGUGCGCAGCCCUGGCCGGGACCCGGCGGUGCCAGGGGAUGGGGGUGGCAUCUCCCUCCUCCAUGACCAGGAGCCAGGGUUUGGACCCAGCAUAUCCAUUACUGCAGCAACUGUUCCCCAGCUGGAAGCAGACAGAUGCUCCACUGAUGGGGUGAGUCCAGAAAAGGGUCGUCAUCAGCAGCUCGUCCCCUUUGGUGCCUCCUGGGGACCCUGUGUCCCUGGGAUGGCUGGGGCAGCCGCAUUCCUUCCCUGCCUGACUCGGGGGCAUCUACUGUGCCCAAAGAGAAAGAGCUCCACAUGGUGCAGAUGAUAUUUCAUACAGAUUUGGUUCAGUGUUAUCUGCUGUGAACAUAAAUACCAGCUCGGUAACUUCGCUCUUGUAAAUGAUAAACUGAAACCUCUUUGGUUGUUUCGCAGUCAAAUGCCAGUAACAAAAAUGAAAAAUCACCAUUAAUCCCCCUGCUUUAUUUAGUUUUGAUGCUGUCAAGAAAAGACAACACUCAUGUAGCAUAAGGAGAAUUUUUAAAUAGAAGCAUUACAUUUUAAAACUCUAAUAAAGAUAAAAGCAAAAUAAACAGCGGAAUUUGAAUUUAGAGAAUGAGAGAAGAAAGAUUAGCCUGUACUGGUGAGGUAAUGAAGGUAGUGGCUGGCAACAAUAUUUAAUAGCACAUUAAUGCUGAAUUACUUUGGAAUUUCUGCAGGAGUAGAGAUGACAUCCACAUAAACACCAAAUGAAUUCCAAAUGAUUGGUAUUAUCAUAAAGAGCACCAAAUGAAUUAAUAAUGAUGGAACACUUAAACUAAAACGUUAUCUUCUCUGUUGUCUCUUUUAUGCACUGUGCAAUUCAUUUUUUGCCAACUAUGACCCUUUCUUUCGUUUGUCUUUUAAUUUAAAAAAAAAUAAUAAUUUAUUUUUGCACAAAGGUUCUACUCCUGUACCGUGUGAACUGGGGCUUGGACUAGUCUGUCUUCAUAAAGUUUUGUGUUGGCAUCGCAAAAUUUAAGAGAUCGAUGGGAAGACAUCUGGAUGUGAGAUGUAUCGCUGGGAAAAUGACUAUGACUAAUAAGAACCAUAAUAAUAACGAUUCCGCCUUGAUGGUCCCACAUGUGCAGAGACCUCAGGGCACCCUUAACAGCAUUUAAUAAACUAAAUGGCUCACUUUACUGCAGCGCAAUAUGUCUCCCCCUCCCAUGGAGAAGCCCAACAGGAGAGGAAGCCUGAACUCGCAGUCUGUGUCACAGCCAAAGAAGAUAAAUAAAAGAAGAAAAAAGAAGGUAAAGAGGAGGCUGGGGCUUGUUUUGUGUGCUGGGCGGCGCUGCCCAUGGGUGCCAGUGAGGAGCUGAGCUCUGGCGCUGUGGUUACAUGUGUGGGGGCUCUUUGGGGGCCUGGAUACCUGACAAAUGUGGGCUCUUCAGGGUGGCGGGCAGGCAGGCAGAGCCUGGGGAGGGGGACCCAGCAGCAGCAGCAGCAGCAGCAUUGCCUUCCUGCGGGCAGCAGUGCCCCAGGCCACACCAGGUCUUUUCCCGGCACUGGGCUGGGUGCGCUCGCUGACAUAUUAGCAGUCAAAUGACAUUUAGGGAGCACAAGUCUCACUCUCUCCUGCAGGCCAAGUAAAUAUCAUUAGUAAUGAUAUUAAAUCUCGAAUUGUGCUCCUGCACUAUGGCAACCACUCAGCCAGCAUGUGCUAUUGCUGCUUGUUCCUAACAAUUACUUUCAGAGACUUUAUUUCUUAGAAAACUAUUACUGACCAUAAUCCUCUACAUGGCAUGCCGUGAAAGUAAGAAAGAAUAAAAAAAGGAAAGUCAACCCAGCUGUCAGAGUGAGGUUGUAGAGGUGCCCAGAGGCUGGCGUGGCAGGUUUCGUCUGGGUUCGGAGGGUGCUGCUGCUGGGUGCUGCCCCGGGGAGCUGGGCAGGGCAGAGCUGCGUGGCUUUAGAGCAGCACAUGCUCCAAGGCAGUCAGCUUGCUCCCCAGCGCAGUAUCCGUCACGGAAAUACAUAUAUAUAUAUAAAAUUACUUUUUUAAAAUAUAUGUGUAUGUAUAGAUAUGUAUAUACAUGUGUGUAUAUGAGUAUAUGUAUAUAUAACACAAAUGUGUGUAUAUCCAUCUGUGUACAUGUGUAUAUAAAUACAUGUAUGUGUAUACAUGCACAUGGAAAUCCAUACAUAUAAACGUAUACACACACACAACCUCUUAGCUGUUGGCUUUUCGCUGCUGAAGUGUUUGCUGGGCUGUUACAGGCUGCCGGUGGCAGCGGUGGGCCGCUGGCCCGUCACACGUGCUGUGCUUUUGUGACAAAAGCAACGUAUAAUUAUAUUACAAAUUAACUUGCAAAUGCUGGCAGAGAUGUACUCCACAGGAAAAAAAAUAAUAAUAAAAAAAUCAGUUUCAUCUUCUCUUGUGUCUUGUAGCUGGUCCCUCCAGCACAGUCUGCAUCUGUCAGAAUCCAUGCCCUGGGAGCACUAAUCAUUUUUAUUAACCAUUAAACAAGAAGAUCCUUUUUAUUUGAAAAUGUAAAACAUGCAGGAAGCACUAUCUAUAGCCGCUAAUUCAGGUCACAUGAAACAGCUCUUCCUCACCUCUCGGCUCGUCCCUGCUCUGCUGAAAGCUGCUCACCGACCAACCUGCCGCAGCACCUCUUCCCCGUCGGGGUGAUGGUCCAUCGCCUGCAUUUGCAUUUUGAAGCUGGAUUUUUUAUCCUGAAUAAUUACAUUUCAUUUCCGAGUGACCUGAUGUAAAGCAAGCCCCUUUUAAAGCUUCUCUCAUGGCACAUUUAUGAGGCGUUACUACAUUUUCUUAACAUUUUUCACCUUCCCAUCGUUUUUAUUUCACAUUGGGGCGGUGACAGGUGAAGGCACGGUGGCCGCUGCAGAGUGAGCCGGAGGAUGGCAGCGGCCGGGGUCACUCUGCGUCUGUGGACUUUGGUCACUGGUGGGAUGACACCCCACUCCUGUCCCCCUCGCCCCCCGUAAGGAACAGCCCUGUGGGCUCCCACGGCCUUGGGAAACUGGGAGAGGGAUGGACAUCAAGGCUCCUACCUGGGGGUCUGCUCUAGCUGAGCAAAAGGGGUCUCAACAUUUUAUAUACAAAGCUGAGGCUGGUGCUGCCUAGUUAGCAUUAUAGAGCAGCUUCCUCACAUGCUUUUUUAUUAUGCAGCUUGGCGGCUGCUGUGUGAGACUGCGGAAUAUUUUACUGCUUUGUGGCUUGCAUUCAAUACGGCAAAAAAAAGGAGAAUUUGACAAAAAUCCUGCUUUUUUUUUUUUUUUUUCAAAAUGCAUCUUUGUUUUCAGUAGCCCUCCUGCUGUGACAAAACUGUUAAUUAAACUGAAACUAAAAUAAAUUAAGCCCACCUAAUAUGGAAACAUUUGAAGGCAGAGCACCAGCCUAAAGGCUGGCUAGGGUAGGAGCUGGCUGUUCCUGCCCGCGGGUGCCAGCA
Long non-coding RNA from Falco peregrinus (peregrine falcon), 7295 nucleotides. RefSeq lists it as uncharacterized. Lineage: Eukaryota; Metazoa; Chordata; Aves; Falconiformes; Falconidae. The record is from RefSeq and is a predicted model, not a curated record. The transcript is spliced from 11 exons.